RNAcentral lists this ribosomal RNA (254 nucleotides) under uncultured bacterium. RNAcentral describes it as "partial 16S ribosomal RNA". It matches the Rfam family "Bacterial small subunit ribosomal RNA", at positions 524 to 777 of the family's 1533-position model. The record is from RNAcentral.
UACGGGGGGGGCAAGCGUUGUUCGGAAUUACUGGGCGUAAAGGGCUCGUAGGCGGCCAACUAAGUCAGACGUGAAAUCCCUCGGCUUAACCGGGGAACUGCGUCUGAUACUGGAUGGCUUGAGUGUGGGAGAGGAAUGCGGAAUUCCAGGUGUAGCGGUGAAAUGCGUAGAUAUCUGGAGGAACACCGGUGGCGAAGGCGGCAUUCUGGACCAUUACUGACGCUGAGGAGCGAAAGCCAGGGGAGCAAAGCGGG